GAGAAGGAGACACAACGAGGUUGCACAAAGAAGAAAAUGAUUGGUGCAAGAAAAAGAACUUGGGAUGCAUGAAAAAACCCCUUCUUUAAUAACACUUCCUUUUCUGAUUAAUGUUAGAAUAAGGCCCAAAUGCAGAAAUCCCAACUUAUAUAGGAACAAGACUUCAAAUUUCAUUCUUCACGCUUUGAACCAAAACCCCUUAUCAG
This 206-nucleotide long non-coding RNA is filed under the name Vigna radiata. Its description in RNAcentral is "long non-coding RNA (VRAD_LNC005441)". Lineage: Eukaryota; Viridiplantae; Streptophyta; Magnoliopsida; Fabales; Fabaceae. The record is from RNAcentral.